This is a non-coding RNA of Callorhinus ursinus (northern fur seal), 3785 nucleotides long. The record is from RefSeq and is a predicted model, not a curated record. NCBI's taxonomy places the organism in Eukaryota, Metazoa, Chordata, Mammalia, Carnivora, Otariidae.
AAUGACCUAGACUGUGGGCCCAGGACUGAAGAGAGCUCCCCUCUGUGUGGCAGAAUAUGCACGUCUUCUUCCAUCCUUCAGAUUCUGAACAUUUCCGUUCCACAUUCAAACAUCCUCAACUUUCAUCCUCAGUCUUUCAACUGAGAAACAAAACAUGCAGACACAAACCCUGACUGUAUUCUACAAACAAGGUAAGGUGAAGAAGGUAUUGAGCUCUGUCAGAUGGCAAAGAACAGGGAAACACCCAAGUUACCUUCAGGGAAGCCCUUUCUCCGAGGCUACACAGGUGAGUAAGAAAAAUAGGAAAUGGCUCUUUUCCAUCUUGCAAGAUGGUGGGCGAAACAGCUGAGAAGCUGGAUGCUAAGAAGAAACCUGAAGCCAAGAAGGCCGAUGCUGGUGGCAAGGUUAUGACAGUAACCUCCAGGCUAAAAUACCAAAGAAGGGGAAGACCCCCUGCAGGAGAUAACCUGUCUCAGUCCAAGGCGUCCCCAGACAUCCCCCACCGGGUGUGUAUUCCAGAAGAGCUCUGUGCAAGAGGAAGUAGUCAGCAGCUAAAUCCGGGGUUGAAAAGAAAAAGGAGAAGGUUCUUGCUAUUGUCACAAAACCAGCUGGUGGGGACAAGAAUGGUGGUACCCAAAUGGUUAAACUUUGCACAAGGCCUAGGUAUCAUCCUACUGAAGAUGUGUCUCAAAAGCUGUUGAGCCGUGCAAAAAAACCUUUCAGCCAGCAUGUGAGAAAACGGAGAGCUGGUGUCACUCCUGGGACCAUUUUGAUCAUCUUCACUGGGCGCCACAGAAGAAGAGGGUGGUUUUCCUAAAGCAGCUGAGCUGUGGCUUGUUACUUGUGACCAGACCCCUGGCCCUCAAUCCUCUGCAUAGAACACACCAGAAAUUUGUCAUUGCCACCCCCACCAAAACAUCUCACUGAUGCUUCAAGAAGAAGAAGCCAUGUAAAGCUACACACGAGGAAGUCAGUGUGUGACUACUGAAUGAAAAUAAGCUGAAGACAGACACAUUCCAUUCUCCAAUUCAGACCAUCACCUUCUGCUAAGCCGCCCCCCACCAUGUGCUGCUGCAAGAGAGAUGGAGCCAACUUGCGGGGCUACCCAACCGAUCCUGUGGAAGCCGCUGAGUCCAAGAGAGCGCUGUCUUCUGAUACCAGCACCAAACAAGUAUGAACUGUUUCUGGAACCCCUUGUGCACUGGCCACACUUUUGAACUCAGAGGACUUACGAAUGUAUGAAAUAAUUAGAUCGACCCCCCCCCUUUUUUUAAGUAGGCUCCACGCCCAGUGUGGAGCCCAACAUGGGGCUUGAACUCACGAGCCUGAGAUCAAGACCUGAGCUGAGAUCAAGAGUUGGACACUUAACUGAGUGAGCCACCCCAUAAUUAGAUCUAUCUCAAAAUGCUCACCAAAUAAUAAACGUACGCAACAGCUAUGCAGCAGAAUGGUUUUUAAAAUAAUGGUUUAGCCUUUUUAUCACAUUAAAUCUCAUAGGGAAAGAAGCUCACUACAUAAGAAAAACAUGGAGGUGGAACUUCUCUGGGUGAAGAGGGCCAAGGAGUUGAAUCCUACCCACUGUGUACCCAUCUGGAUACUCACUAGAGCCCUUAGAGGCCCUUCUGUGGAUCUCCAAGGAUCCCUUGAACCCUUGGUUUGCAAAUGUAUAGGGUUUGCAAAUGUAUAGCGUUUGCAAAUGUAUGGGGUGGUGAAAAGAGCUCAGCCUCCCAAGUUGGGAAAUGGUGUGCGUUUUGGCUUUGCUGUCAACUAUCUGAGUGACCUGGGGCAAGUGAAGCAAUCCACUCACUUCCUGUCAGCCUCAUGCCCACACCCACAGGAACAGGAGACCAAGCCAUGCAGGGGCCUGCAUCUACGGUGGAGAAUUACUCAGAUAUCCCCUCCUCCUCAUCUACUCAGAAUGUCCUUUCUCAGCAGCCUCCUCCAUCUUGUGGUUGGCUAUUUAUCUGGAUGGGCUAUGUAUCUCCGAUAUCAGCAGAGCUGAUUGCUGCCCCAAACUCCAUCAUCCUCUUCAAUGGAAUCUCAAUCUUGUCUGGUUGACAAUGUACUACUUAAGACACUUACUUCCCCAGACUCCCUUGCAUCUAGGGGUGGCCACCUGGCUCUAUGGCUAAUGAGUCAUCAGCAGAAGUCCGCUUGGUGUGGCUUUCAGCAAUUCAAUUGCUUUCCUGAUUAAGAAAAGAAAAGAUAGAUCCUGUUGCAACAUGCCUUAUGCUCUUUCCUCUUCCUUUCUGCCUGCCAUGUGGAUGUGAAGCCUGCAGGCAGAACAGCCACCUUGCACCCAUGAGGCAGAAGGAUGGACUGGUAUAGGUGGGAGGUAGCCACUUAGGCAACACUGGGGCCCCAGCAUUUUACCAAGCUACAAGAAUUGGGCCAAUGCAGCAGCAAUGUCUUUCUUGGUGAGCGCUGUCCUCCUUGGAGAGCCAGAUAGAGGUGGGGUCUUGAGCCAUUAACACCCAUCCUGCCUGCGAAGGUUCUCCAACUACAAAGGCCCUGCUCAAGCCAGGUACUUGCAUGUUUGGCCACCAGAUGGCACCAGAUGAGUGCUUUUAAGAAAGGAAAAAAAAAAGAGGAAGUCGGCCGUUCCUAACAGCCACCACGAGGCAAUCCCGCUAGAUACAGGUACCCCUGCUUUUUGAAAGUUUGAGCUAUGCCAUUUCACUUUUCAAAAGACCUACAUUAGUACCUGCUUUCCCGGACCGAAAGAAAUCUGAAGAGGAUAUUUGCUUCUGUGGAAAAAAAGUGAAAAGUGACAGCAGUCAGCACUGAUUUCCCGGGAGCCCUUACGGAAACUGCCGGCAGCACGAGCUUUGGGAGUGGCGCCACCAAGCGCCUUCGCGGGGAAUUACACUCAGCCUCUCAGCAUCUCCCCGUGGAACUAUGUGCGCAUAGGUGCUUUAUCUGGAUUUCUUUUGUGCCUCCGUUAGCACGAUGUGCCCUAAGGUAUCAGAAAAGCCCAAGAGAGAUUAUUUUUUGGGUCUUGGGAUGUUAAAAUUUUUUCCAUAUAAAUUAAUGUUAGCUGUUUCUUCACUGUAUGCCAUUUUGGCUUCCAAAAGUUUUCAUAGGAAUGCUCUAUUUUUGGAGAGGGAGGGAAACCUGUAAUCGAUGCUGAAAACGCCCACAAGAAAGCAUAUUUCACGUGUCUGUUCUAAGUGUCAGUUGAUAUUUUGAUGUGCUUUUCUUGCCAUCAAGGUACAGACGAAUUCCUUUCUUAACCUUAAAAUGACAGAUAAGGGCCUCCCGGCCCUGUUUAGUCUAGAUUUUCCUUCCCUGCCUUGUGUCUAGAAAGCCACCUGGGAGUAAGAACUGGAAGCAGGCUUAUCUUUAUUUGCAUCUAACAUGAACUUCCCUUGGCUAUAGACUGCUCGCCAGUGAGCCAUUGAAUACCGCAGUAGAAGAAGAGGUCAGUGAGGAAUUAUUGCUAAUAUUAGUAUUAUUGGACUAAAAUACGUAUCCCAUUUUGUGAGGAGAAGUGCUGACUGUCUUGUGCUGUCUGAAGAUGAGUACAGUUGGCCCCUGCACAUUAGCCUCUCUCUUCUGGUUACAUCCAGAUUGGAUUUGGCACAUGUGGGAUCUAGAGUCCAAGGUAAGGAGUGCCUGAGAGUCCACCACAGGUCUUUGGGGCUGAGAAGGUGGGAGUAGGAGGCACAAGGCAAGAGGGAACUGAGAAAAAUAAAGACGUUCAGCGCUGGCUUUGUGCUUCUAUACAUUUUUGACCCUGGGGAAUUUUAAAGGACUAUUUUUUUAAAAGAUUUUAUUUAUUUAUU